UACGUAGGGUGCAAGCGUUGUCCGGAAUUAUUGGGCGUAAAGAGCUCGUAGGCGGCUUGUCGCGUCGGCUGUGAAAACUCAGGGCUCAACCCUGAGCCUGCAGUCGAUACGGGCAGGCUAGAGUCCGGCAGGGGAGACUGGAAUUCCUGGUGUAGCGGUGAAAUGCGCAGAUAUCAGGAGGAACACCGGUGGCGAAGGCGGGUCUCUGGGCCGGAACUGACGCUGAGGAGCGAAAGCGUGGGGAGCGAACAGG
RNAcentral lists this ribosomal RNA (253 nucleotides) under uncultured bacterium. RNAcentral describes it as "partial 16S ribosomal RNA". It matches the Rfam family "Bacterial small subunit ribosomal RNA", at positions 524 to 776 of the family's 1533-position model. The record is from RNAcentral.